This 1492-nucleotide ribosomal RNA is filed under the name Ruminococcus bicirculans (ex Wegman et al. 2014). RNAcentral describes it as "bacterial SSU rRNA". It matches the Rfam family "Bacterial small subunit ribosomal RNA". Lineage: Bacteria; Bacillati; Bacillota; Clostridia; Eubacteriales; Oscillospiraceae. The record is from RNAcentral.
AGAGUUUGAUCCUGGCUCAGGACGAACGCUGGCGGCACGCUUAACACAUGCAAGUCGAACGAGAGAAGAGAAGCUUGCUUUUCUGAUCUAGUGGCGGACGGGUGAGUAACACGUGAGCAAUCUGCCUUUCAGAGGGGGAUACCGAUUGGAAACGAUCGUUAAUACCGCAUAAUAUAAUUGAACCGCAUGAUUUGAUUAUCAAAGAUUUAUCGCUGAAAGAUGAGCUCGCGUCUGAUUAGCUAGUUGGUAAGGUAACGGCUUACCAAGGCGACGAUCAGUAGCCGGACUGAGAGGUUGAUCGGCCACAUUGGGACUGAGACACGGCCCAGACUCCUACGGGAGGCAGCAGUGGGGAAUAUUGCACAAUGGAGGAAACUCUGAUGCAGCGAUGCCGCGUGAGGGAAGAAGGUUUUAGGAUUGUAAACCUCUGUCUUCAGGGACGAAAAAAGACGGUACCUGAGGAGGAAGCUCCGGCUAACUACGUGCCAGCAGCCGCGGUAAUACGUAGGGAGCGAGCGUUGUCCGGAAUUACUGGGUGUAAAGGGAGCGUAGGCGGGAUCGCAAGUCAGAUGUGAAAACUAUGGGCUUAACCCAUAAACUGCAUUUGAAACUGUGGUUCUUGAGUGAAGUAGAGGUAAGCGGAAUUCCUAGUGUAGCGGUGAAAUGCGUAGAUAUUAGGAGGAACAUCAGUGGCGAAGGCGGCUUACUGGGCUUUAACUGACGCUGAGGCUCGAAAGCGUGGGGAGCAAACAGGAUUAGAUACCCUGGUAGUCCACGCCGUAAACGAUGAUUACUAGGUGUGGGGGGACUGACCCCUUCCGUGCCGCAGCAAACGCAAUAAGUAAUCCACCUGGGGAGUACGACCGCAAGGUUGAAACUCAAAGGAAUUGACGGGGGCCCGCACAAGCAGUGGAGUAUGUGGAUUAAUUCGAAGCAACGCGAAGAACCUUACCAGGUCUUGACAUCGUAUGCAUAGCUCAGAGAUGAGUGAAAUCUCUUCGGAGACAUAUAGACAGGUGGUGCAUGGUUGUCGUCAGCUCGUGUCGUGAGAUGUUGGGUUAAGUCCCGCAACGAGCGCAACCCUUACUGUUAGUUGCUACGCAAGAGCACUCUAGCAGGACUGCCGUUGACAAAACGGAGGAAGGUGGGGAUGACGUCAAAUCAUCAUGCCCCUUAUGACCUGGGCCUCACACGUACUACAAUGGCUGUCAACAGAGGGAUGCAAAGCCGCGAGGUGGAGCGAACCCCUAAAAGCAGUCUUAGUUCGGAUUGUAGGCUGCAACCCGCCUACAUGAAGUCGGAAUUGCUAGUAAUCGCAGAUCAGCAUGCUGCGGUGAAUACGUUCCCGGGCCUUGUACACACCGCCCGUCACGCCAUGGGAGUCGGUAACACCCGAAGCCUGUAGUCUAACCGUAAGGAGGACGCAGUCGAAGGUGGGAUUGAUGACUGGGGUGAAGUCGUAACAAGGUAGCCGUAUCGGAAGGUGCGGCUG